This 254-nucleotide ribosomal RNA is filed under the name uncultured bacterium. Its description in RNAcentral is "partial 16S ribosomal RNA". It matches the Rfam family "Bacterial small subunit ribosomal RNA", at positions 524 to 776 of the family's 1533-position model. The record is from RNAcentral.
UACGUAGGGUGCGAGCGUUGUCCGGAAUUAUUGGGCGUAAAGAGCUCGUAGGCGGUGUGUCACGUCGUUCGUGAAAACCUGCAGCUUAACUGUGGGCGUGCGGUCGAUACGGGCAUCACUGGAGUUCGGCAGGGGAGACUGGAAUUCCUGGUGUAGCGGUGAAAUGCGCAGAUAUCAGGAGGAACACCGGUGGCGAAGGCGGCUACCUGGACAGAAACUGACGCUGAGGCGCGAAAGCUAGGGGAGCAAACAGG